Eurytemora carolleeae is the source of this 1380-nucleotide long non-coding RNA. RefSeq lists it as uncharacterized. The record is from RefSeq and is a predicted model, not a curated record. Lineage: Eukaryota; Metazoa; Arthropoda; Copepoda; Calanoida; Temoridae. The transcript has 2 exons.
UAUUAUCAUUAAAAUCUGGUUCAUGUUCAGAUAGACAGUGAGAGAUCUACUCCAACCAACAACGACACUACGUCACUCAAAGAUUCAGAGGUCCCUGGGUCUCCACAAAAGCCCCCCGCCAUACCUUCUCGGAACCCUUUAGGUGCCCCUCCUAGUCUCCCACCAGGGGCCCCGCCUCAAGGACCACCCCCUGCUGCCCCACCCUCCGGUCCUCCGCCCCCUUUACCUGGUAGACCGCCGGCUGGUCGACCUCCCCCCCCUGUUCCAAAACGCUGAAUAAAUGAAAACGUUUUAAUUUAAAAUCAAAGAAAGAUCUCAUAGUUUAUAUCAAUAUUCUUGUGUGGGAUUCAAAUCAGGCAAAAUGAAAAAUACAUGAAAAAUUUUCACUUUUUCUUAGUUAAAGGGACUGAAAGCGUAAUUUCAAGUGACCCUCCAUGCAAUGACCGAUUCCCAAUGGUACCCUGAUAAGCUUUCUCUGAUCAAUUAUGAAUAAUAUGUCAAUGUUUAUAAUUUGAAAACUGAUGAUUUUCAAUUGUGGGUUCUCAACAAAAGUGACUUGCGCAUUUCUGCUUCAAAAAUAGGAGUAUUUAGAACUAAUCACUUACAAACCUAGAAAAACGACAAGAUCUUCCACAUUAUUGAUCAGAUAAAGGUUUCAAGGGUACCGCUCUGAAUCGGGCAAUGGCAAAUGUGCAUGGAGGUUGACUUGAAAGUAUGCUUACAGUCCCUUUAAGUUUAUAUUGUAUGUAACUUCAGCUGUAUAGCGCGUUGAAACAAAUGCUUUAAUGUUUUUAAUAAUGCUUUCAUAGUUUAGAAAUUCCAUGUGGCCACAGGAGUUAUUUACAAAUAAAAUCUGACAGAAACUUAUCAUUCUCAUAGAAUUUUACUGAUUUUUAAGACAUUUUUAAAAGGCCAAGCAAGAUUUUUUGGCGGCUUGUAAACAUUAAUCGAAUAGCAUACAUUCCUGCACUGUACUGUACUGUAACCUAUUGAGGGAAUUUUUGUGGCUAUUAAGGUCCAGUCAUCAUUAUUUUUAAUACAGCAUACAUUCCUGUACUGUACUGUACUGUACCGUACUGUACUGUACUGUACUGAAUUUCUUAUCCUGGUAUUAUAGUAAGUAAUGUGAUUUUAUCUAGUCUGUAUUAAUCAAUUGUACAAAAUCUAAGACAGAGACAGUUUUGUAGAUUUGUAUUUUAACUUUACAACUUUAAAAUCCCUGUUAGCUGUACCACCCCCGUGAAAUGAUGAAAAAAGAAUUAUUUUCUUGCAUUUAUUAGAUUUGCUGUAAAUGAACUAAAAAAGAAUACGUUUUUCAUUAUUUAAUUGUAAUUUGUAUAACUUACUCUAAAUAAAUAGAUUAAUAAAAAGUAUAAUAUA